This 405-nucleotide unclassified non-coding RNA is filed under the name Hevea brasiliensis (rubber tree). Lineage: Eukaryota; Viridiplantae; Streptophyta; Magnoliopsida; Malpighiales; Euphorbiaceae. The record is from RNAcentral.
GUACCAGCCGAAUUUCAUAGCAGAGUUAUCUUAAAAAUUCUGCUCUUUCUAUUGUAUGUUGACCUCUCUCCUACCCCUCAUUGGUUAGGAGUUAAAUCUAAUGUUCCAAAAAUUGACUCCUUCGCGUUGGAGUUGUACUCAACAGGGGAUUUAUAAUUUCUUUAUAAGAGAAACAAUAGCUGGCCAUAAGAUGGGCUAAUGCCCUUGUCACGUGAUGGGCUCAAGCCGACGUGGGUGGAUUAACUUCCUUCAUCCUUCAUACUUCAUCCUUCAUCCCCACUUUUCUUCUUAAUCUCCACCGCCACUAAUUUUGAUGUCAACUCAAAUAUAUCAGCUGCGGUAAUUGACCGUUUUUCCUCACCGUGAAGCUCGCAACUUUACCAAUUUCCUCCAGUUUUGAUAUAA